RNAcentral lists this ribosomal RNA (499 nucleotides) under uncultured bacterium. RNAcentral describes it as "bacterial SSU rRNA". It matches the Rfam family "Bacterial small subunit ribosomal RNA", at positions 28 to 524 of the family's 1533-position model. The record is from RNAcentral.
GAUGAACGCUAGCGGCAGGCUUAAUACAUGCAAGUCGAGGGGCAGCACGGUUAGCAAUAACUGGUGGCGACCGGCGCACGGGUGCGUAACACGUAUACAAUCUACCUUAAACAGGGGGAUAGCCUUUCGAAAGAGAGAUUAAUACCCCGUAAUAAAUUGAACGGCAUCGUUUGAUUUUGAAAGCUCCGGCGGUUUGAGAUGAGUAUGCGUCUGAUUAGCUAGUUGGUGAGGUAACGGCUCACCAAGGCGACGAUCAGUAGGGGAUCUGAGAGGACUAACCCCCACACUGGUACUGAGACACGGACCAGACUCCUACGGGAGGCAGCAGUAAGGAAUAUUGGUCAAUGGAGGCAACUCUGAACCAGCCAUGCCGCGUGCAGGAUGACGGCCCUAUGGGUUGUAAACUGCUUUUGAUAGGGAACAAAUGCCACUUGCGAGUGGAGCUGAGUGUACCUAUAGAAUAAGCACCGGCUAACUCCGUGCCAGCAGCCGCGGUAAU